Molecule: ribosomal RNA, 400 nt
Filed under: uncultured bacterium
Lineage: Bacteria
Description: bacterial SSU rRNA
Rfam family: Bacterial small subunit ribosomal RNA
Source: RNAcentral
GGGGAAUAUUGCACAAUGGAGGAAACUCUGAUGCAGCAACGCCGCGUGAGUGAUGAAGGUCUUCGGAUUGUAAAGCUCUGUCUUCUGGGACAAUAAUGACAGUACCAAAGGAGGAAGCCACGGCUAACUACGUGCCAGCAGCCACGGUAAUACGUAGGUGGCAAGCGUUGUCCAGAUUUACUGGGCGUAAAGGAUGUGUAGGCGGAUAUUUAAGUGAGAUGUGAAAUCCCCGGGCUUAACUUGGGGGCUGCAUUUCAAACUGGAUGUCUAGAGCGCAGGAGAGGAAAGCAGAAUUCCUAGUGUAGCGGUGAAAUGCGUAGAGAUUAGGAAGAAUACCAGUGGCGAAGGCGGCUUUCUGGACUGUAACUGACGCUGAGGCAUGAAAGCGUGGGGAGCAAAC